GUGGUGUUUGGAUUGUCGCUGCCGGCUGGCUCUGUGCUCUCGCGCCGAACUGUCUGCACGCAAUCGUCCUGGCUGCCGUGAGGCGGGAUGGCGCCUCAGAGGCCGGUUCUUGUGCUUCCUACCCGUCGGGAGGAAGCAGACCGCUCGAAAGCCAGCCUCCGUCCGGCGCCCCCGAAAGGGCGCAGGAGGACAGCGUAGCGCCCCCCGCGUUCCACCGAGCCCCGAGCGGUCGGUUGGCCCGCGGGGACGCGCGAUGCUCUCGGACCCAGCGCACGCCGCGGACGGGGACUCGCGUCCCGGUCCUAAGAGAAGCCCCGACCUCCUGCACGACGGCCGCGCCCGCCCCGUGACCGCCCCGGCGGCGCGGGGGGGAGGCGCGGCGUCCUUGAGGAUUGCUACCUGGUUGAUCCUGCCAGUAGUCAUAUGCUUGUCU
This 433-nucleotide unclassified non-coding RNA is filed under the name Mariosousa acatlensis. RNAcentral describes it as "partial external transcribed spacer". The record is from RNAcentral. Lineage: Eukaryota; Viridiplantae; Streptophyta; Magnoliopsida; Fabales; Fabaceae.